Small nuclear RNA from Sorex fumeus (smoky shrew), 161 nucleotides. RefSeq annotates it as U1 spliceosomal RNA. Lineage: Eukaryota; Metazoa; Chordata; Mammalia; Eulipotyphla; Soricidae. The transcript has a single exon. The record is from RefSeq and is a predicted model, not a curated record.
AUACUUACCUGGCAGGGGAGACACCAUGAUCACGAAGGUGGUUUUCCCAGGGCGAGGCUUAUCCAUUGCACUCCGGAUGUGCUGACCCCUGCGAUUUCCCCAAAUGUGGGAAACUCGACUGCAUAUAUAUUUAUAUAGAAAUAUAUAUAUAUAUAUUUCUC